RNAcentral lists this ribosomal RNA (1111 nucleotides) under Acrossocheilus beijiangensis. RNAcentral's name for it is "partial large subunit ribosomal RNA". It matches the Rfam family "Bacterial large subunit ribosomal RNA", at positions 135 to 2064 of the family's 2925-position model. The record is from RNAcentral. Lineage: Eukaryota; Metazoa; Chordata; Actinopteri; Cypriniformes; Cyprinidae.
AGCAACCGCUAGCUUACUUAUCAGUUAACUGAAAAAUAUAAAUAAACAAAAUGAGCCUAACACCAAAAAAUUAAAUCAUUCUUUUACCUUAGUAUGGGAGACAGAAAAGGUCACGCAAAGCAAUAGAAACAGUACCGCAAGGGAAAGCUGAAAGAGAGAUGAAACAGCCCAUAUAAGCACAAAAAAGCAAAGACUAGACCCUGUACCUUUCGCAUCAUGAUUUAGUCAGUAUAUUCAAGCAAAGAGACCUGUAGUUUGAACCCCCGAAACCAGGUGAGCUACCCCGAGACAGCCUAUUAAGGGCCAACCCGUCUCUGUGGCAAAAGAGUGGGAAGAGCUCCGGGUAGAGGUGACAGACCUACCGAACCUGGUGAUAGCUGGUUGCCUGGGAGAUGGAUAGAAGUUCAGCCUCGUACCCCCUCUAAGUCAAAGCAUAAGCAAGACACCAAGAGAAACAUAUGAGAGUUAGUUAUAGGAGGUACAGCCCCUUUAACAAAGGACACAACCUUUCCAGGAGGAUAAAGAUCAUAGUACACAAAAUAUGCUGUUCCAGUGGGCCCAAAAGCAGCCACCCAAACAGAAAGCGUUAAAGCUCAAACGAAAAGAAAUUUAUUAUUCUGAUAAACAAUCUUACUCCCCUAACUAAUACUAGGCCAACCCAUGCCCGCAUGGGAGAGAUUAUGCUAAAAUGAGUAACAAGAAGGCCCGCCCUUCUCCAAGCAUAAGUGUAAGCAAAACCGGACCCACCAUUUGCAAUUAACGAACUCAACCCCAGAGAGCAAUGUGAGCUACAAAAAAAUCAAGAAAAAUCCACAGCCCAUUUAUCGUUACCCCCACACUGGAAUGCAUUAAAGGAAAGACUAAAAGAAAGGGAAGGAACUCGGCAAACACAAGCCUCGCCUGUUUACCAAAAACAUCGCCUCCUGCAACAACUAUAUAUAGGAGGUCCAGCCUGCCCAGUGACUAUCAGUUUAACGGCCGCGGUAUCCUGACCGUGCAAAGGUAGCGCAAUCACUUGUCUUUUAAAUAGAGACCUGUAUGAAUGGCCAAACGAGGGCUUAACUGUCUCCCCUUUCAAGUCAGUGAAAUUGAUCUACCCGUGCAGAAGCGG